This 381-nucleotide RNase P RNA is filed under the name Desulfosporosinus sp. RNAcentral describes it as "RNase P RNA component class A". It matches the Rfam family "Bacterial RNase P class A". Rfam says of the family: Ribonuclease P (RNase P) is a ubiquitous endoribonuclease, found in archaea, bacteria and eukarya as well as chloroplasts and mitochondria. Its best characterised activity is the generation of mature 5'-ends of tRNAs by cleaving the 5'-leader elements of precursor-tRNAs. Lineage: Bacteria; Bacillati; Bacillota; Clostridia; Eubacteriales; Desulfitobacteriaceae. The record is from RNAcentral.
GAAGCCAACCGGAUGAUCGCGGAGGCAGGGACCGAAAGGUCGCCUCUGAGGAAAGUCCGAGCUCCAUAGGGCAAGGUGCUGGGUAACGCCCAGUGGGGGGAACCCCAAGGAAAGUGCAACAGAGAGAUACCGCCAAAACAGAGGCCAGUCUGACCUCCGGAUUGGUAAGGGUGGAAAGGCGAGGUAAGAGCUCACCGGCAGUCAGGCGACUGGCUGGCCAUGUAAACCCCACUUGGAGCAAGACUGAAUAGGGGAACUAUGAACGGCCCGUUUUCGUUCCCGGGUAAGGUCGCUAGAGGCCGUCGGUAACGACGGUUCGAGACAGAUGAUCAUCACCUCCAUUUGGAGGAACAGAACUCGGCUUAUAGGUUGACUUCGCAC